Molecule: long non-coding RNA, 496 nt
Organism: Suncus etruscus (white-toothed pygmy shrew)
Lineage: Eukaryota; Metazoa; Chordata; Mammalia; Eulipotyphla; Soricidae
Exons: 2
Source: RefSeq, a predicted model, not a curated record
UCCUAUAGAACCAGCUGAUCUGUCAACUGGUGGUUGAAAAUGGCUAGCUUAGGGCCAGAGAGGCCAACUUGGGCCCAGAGCAAUAUAGUUCAGUGGGCAGGGCACUUGUCUUGCAUAUUCCUGUCCCAGUUUAAUUCCUGCUUUCCAUGUAUUUUUCCAAGCCCCACUUAAAAUUCUUGAGUAUAGAGCCAUAAGUAGACCCUCAGCAUCACUAAGUGGCUCCAGAAAACAAAUUCCUCAUGGAGAUUUCCAACAGACUUUUGUGGAAAGAGGUCAGAUUGAAUAUUUUACAUCGAGGAUUAUCUGCAUUGAGGGGAUUAUUGAAGACAAGGGGUGGUGAACUUGGUGCACAUGGACUGGAAAAUACUGGGCCUCGAAAAUAGUUCAAAGGGCUAAAACACAUGUUUUGCAGGAGAUUUGGGUUCUGUCCCUAACAGUGCUUUUUCCCUUGAGUAAGCCAAGAGUAUUCCCUGGGCCCCCCAAACAAACAAACAAA